UCCGCCAUAGCUCAGUUGGUAGUAGCGCCAUGACUGUUAAUCAUGAUGUCGUAGGUUCGAGUCCUACUGGCGGAG
This 75-nucleotide transfer RNA is filed under the name Streptococcus pneumoniae. RNAcentral's name for it is "tRNA-Asn(gtt)". It matches the Rfam family "tRNA". From Rfam's summary of the family: Transfer RNA (tRNA) molecules are approximately 80 nucleotides in length. Their secondary structure includes four short double-helical elements and three loops (D, anti-codon, and T loops). The record is from RNAcentral. Lineage: Bacteria; Bacillati; Bacillota; Bacilli; Lactobacillales; Streptococcaceae.